RNAcentral lists this ribosomal RNA (501 nucleotides) under uncultured bacterium. RNAcentral describes it as "bacterial SSU rRNA". It matches the Rfam family "Bacterial small subunit ribosomal RNA", at positions 16 to 507 of the family's 1533-position model. The record is from RNAcentral.
AUCCUGGCUCAGGAUGAACGCUAGCGGCAGGCUUAACACAUGCAAGUCGAGGGGCAGCAUGAAGGUUAGCAAUAACCUUUGAUGGCGACCGGCGCAAGGGUGCGUAACGCGUGAGCAACUUGCCCGUUUCUGGGGAAUAACCGGUGGAAACGCCGACUAAUACCCCAUGGCAUCAGAAUGAGGCAUCUCAAUCUGAUUAAAGAUUUAUCGGUUAUGGAUGGGGAUGCGUAAGAUUAGGUAGUAGGCGGGGUAACGGCCCACCUAGCCGACGAUCUUUAGGGGUUCUGAGAGGAAGGUCCCCCACACUGGUACUGAGACACGGUCCAGACUCCUACGGGAGGCAGCAGUGAGGAAUAUUGGUCAAUGGUCUGACGACUGAACCAGCCAUGCCGCGUGAAGGAAACGGCCCUAUGGGUCUUAAACUUCUUUUGUAAGGGAGCAAUAAGCGCCACGUGUGGCGUGAUGAGAGUACCUUACGAAUAAGCAUCGGCUAACUCCGUG